GACGAACGCUGGCGGCGUGCCUAAUACAUGCAAGUAGAACGCUGAAGCUUGGUGCUUGCACCGAGCGGAUGAGGUGCGAACGGGUGAGUAACGCGUAGGUAACCUGCCUGGUAGCGGGGGAUAACUAUUGGAAACGAUAGCUAAUACCGCAUAAGAGUAGAUGUUGCAUGACAUUUGCUUAAAAGGUGCAAUUGCAUCACUAACAGAUGGACCUGCGUUGUAUUAGCUAGUUGGUGAGGUAACGGCUCACCAAGGCAACGAUACAUAGCCGACCUGAGAGGGUGAUCGGCCCCACUGGGACUGAGACACGGCCCAGACUCCUACGGGAGGCAGCAGUAGGGAAUCUUCGGCAAUGGACGGAAGUCUGACCGAGCAACGCCGCGUGAGUGAAGAAGGUUUUCGGAUCGUAAAGCUCUGUUGUAAGAGAAGAACGAGUGUGAGAGUGGAAAGUUCACACUGUGACGGUAUCUUACCAGAAAGGGACGGCUAACUACGUG
Molecule: ribosomal RNA, 497 nt
Filed under: uncultured bacterium
Lineage: Bacteria
Description: partial 16S ribosomal RNA
Rfam family: Bacterial small subunit ribosomal RNA
Source: RNAcentral